RNAcentral lists this long non-coding RNA (3645 nucleotides) under Homo sapiens (human). RNAcentral's name for it is "non-protein coding PTPRG-AS1:22". Lineage: Eukaryota; Metazoa; Chordata; Mammalia; Primates; Hominidae. The record is from RNAcentral.
GUCACCGCAUCUUUAUAAAGGGCCGCCUUGGGGCGCGAAAAGUUCGUGAGGUGUAGUCGCGGCAACCAGGAGGUGCACCCACCACUAGAAUUUGAACAUCCUAAGAACAGGUAUUUUUGUCUCUGCUUUGCUGAUGUAUCCUCAGCAACCGGAACUGCCUGACAUCUGAUCCUUUCUGUGAGACACCAGGCUGUUGAGGAAGAAUCUAUGGCAACAUUGUAUCUAUUAAUAUACAGCUUCUGUAUUUAUCAGGCCCAGUUCUGGUGAUGAUUUCACUUUUGACAGAAGCUGUCCCUCAAAAGCAAACAUGCAAUAGAAGAAACAGAUCUCAGCAAUGGUGCAAGACCCACUCGAGCACGCUCAGCUAUCAUAUGGAAAAAACAAAAACACCACAUUUGCCUUAUUAUACACACAGAACCAACAGCUCUUUCUGAGAUUUGCUUGAUGAAUAACAUAUCCUCCUGGCUUCCCUUUCUAAGACUUAUCUAUAUUUUUAAACAAGCUAAAGUGUUAUCAGCUGAGGCAGAAUGUAAAAUGAAAUUUUGCUGCACAUACCCAGAAGGACACAGGCAUUGUAGGAAUACAGUUUUACUGUGGGAGAGAUUUUUACAGCAGAUCAAUAACAGAAUACUUUAUAUGGACACAACAGAGGAUUUUAGAUAACUUUUGACUCUAGUUUGUUAUUCCUACAAUUAUACCAACAUAUACUUUGUCCUUUUACCAACCCCUUUCUCCAUGUCUUUCUGCUCAUGAUGGUCUUAGAAAAGAGUGGCCUUUUUCAUUAGAGAUAAAUCUCCCAAAUGAUCACCCAUGUCUAUGCCUACAGCACACAGACAGCAUCCUCUGCAAUGUCCUUAGCUAUUUAUACAAAGGUCACCACCAAUCAACAGUGCCUUGAUCUCAAUAGCCACAGUAACUGAAUAAGGUAGUUCUAGUUGUACAGAUUAAUCCAGGAUUCUAAGUUUUAGAGGAAUGUUAAUGCCACAGCAAUAACAGCUUUAUUAUUAUUUUUUAUGUUAUAAUAUGGUAGAAGUAACCCAAUUCUUGCAUUCCAAGGUGAAAUGAAGCUGUAUUCUACGUCAGAUAGAUGGAGCACUUGCUGACACUGACAACCACCUCUCCCAGUUUCAUUAAACUACCUUAGUUGAAUAAGCAUAACAUUUUCCCUUUUGGUAGUACCAGGUAAGAGGCUGGUAUAAAGUCAUACAUUAAUGAGGUUACUAAAAGGACAUUUUCAAAACCUUCUACCAUACGGCCACGUACAGUACAAUUGAAGGGUGCUAUCAAUAGCAUCAGAGUAGUGGCUGCCUCUGUACCUAACAUACAAUCCAGUAUAAAAGAUCACUAACAAACUGUUUUAAAGUCUUACAUGGCACAACUGAAGAGUUUCUGUUCUUUUCUUUGUUACACUCUUUCUGAGCACUGAAACAUUCCACAUAUUUUGCAUUACACUGUGUGACCAGCUGAAAAAGAAAAAACAUUUUAGUCUUCAUUCAAAGAUAUAAUUGAUAGCAUUUGCUUGAUGCUUUGGCAAAAAUCCCAAUCAGAUUACUGAUAAACAAGACCAUUUCUGUGCCACAAAGAACCUUUUAAGACACAGGGUCUUGCUCUCUUGCCCAGGCUGGAGUGCAGUGGCAUGAUUGUAGCUCAGUUAACUGUGAUCCUCCCACCUCAGCCUCCUGAGUAGUUAGGACCACAGGUGCAUCAGCACAACCAGCUAAUUUUUAAAAUUGUUUAUAGAAUUGGGGUCUUCCUGUGUUUCCCAGGCUGCUCUGGGAUUACAGGUGUAAUCUACCAUGCCCAGCCCCAGAGAACACUCUUGUGCUUUCCUAGUGGUACUUCUCUCAGUGACCUUGAUUGUAUCUUUCUUAUUUCUACUAUCAGGUAGAAAUAGGUACUGUGUGCAAUAGAUAUUUCUAGAACUAUGUGGAUUCUUCUGUUAUGUGAUGUCACUGCUGCUGUGAAUUUUUUUCUGUGAUCCUCACUGGCAUAAAAGACCUACGUGAGUCUACAUUAAAAAAGAUUGCUUAAUGCUAUUGAUUACGAGCUAAUCAAGUUUCUUGAAGAUAAAGGAGUACUUAACUAGUUCUCAGUACAUUUCUGUUGAACUGAACUAACAUUGUUCUAAGGCUUUUAUAAGUAACCAGCCCAGUAGUUUGAUUAUUAUUCCUGUUUAUGUAGCUUGGUUGAACCAUUUUGUCAAUCCUAUUUUUUGGGGGCUGGCAUCCAUCCUAAUGGAGUAUAUGAGAUCAGUGUUCUUCUCCAGAUGCUUUAGUAAAACUCAUGGUCCCUGGAUAUAAUUUUCAUUUUCAAGUUUGAUUCUUGUUUUUUUCUUCAUCUUGAGCUCUAAAAUGGUUAGUGCCUGUAAAAGAACCAACUACCUGGUCGCAUUUCUUAAAUGAAGUUUUAAAGUAUGUAUAAAAAAAAAUUGAAGAAACGAAAAAGGCAGAAUUUAAGAAAUGUUGGUACUUAAUAUUUUGUAAGAACUCAUGUUAAACAUUUAAAAUGAUACACUGUGUCCUCAUUAUUAAUUAUCUCAUGGUUUUAUAGUAGAAUGUUAAUGGGGAGCUAAAAAUUUUUAAUUUUAUGACUGAACUCAGUGAAAUUAAACUAUUUUUCAUUUCAUAUCACUUGGUAUAAUUUGCUUGGCAGUCUCAUUUCUUCAGCUGAGAUUCAAAUGAAAGUUUCAGUCUAUGGAAAGUUUUACCAUGAAAACUAAAACUGUAGAUUCAUCUCAUUCUUUGAAUCUUGAUACAAAGGGAGAAACUAUUUACAUACAGAACAAUGUGCAAAAUAGAAUUUAAAAGACAAAGAUAAAUAGGAAAGCACUUGGUAACUGGAGAGACAGGCGAUGUUUGAAAGUUAGAAGCAAUUUUGAUUUAUUAUCAGAUGACUGAGCCCUAAUUAUUUUAAUAGUCCUUAUAAUCUCUCUUUUUCACCUUCACUUCAGUCAAUUCCAUAUAAACCUUAACCGCUUUUAAGCUUCUUCAUGUCCCUAUCAAAGAAAAAGAACAACCAUUUAGGAAAAGUUAACUUUUCUCUAGUAUUGUUUAGUAAUUCUUUUUAAAUUCCUAAAUUAUCUUCUGAAAUAGUUUUUGAAAUAGGCAUAUUUUUAGGACAAUAUGUCUACAAGUCAUCAUUCUUAAUAAUUAAGGUAAGAUAGAUUAGUUCAGAAAAAAUAGGACAUUUUUUGGACUAAACGAGUUACUUUAAAGUACUAUGUCAUUAUGGCCAGGGGCUGAUGUUUAUAUUCAGAUAAAGUCAUAAAUUGCUCAGAAGAAAAUACAACACUGUAUAUCUACUUGAAUACCAACAAUUCAUACAUAGGUCAAAACCGUAUUUUCUUUUUCAUCACAUUUAAGGAGUACAAGGAGUACAAAUAGUAAUCCAUUUCGGUGUAUACAUUAAUGCAAAGAAGACAUAACCCCCAAACUCAAGGCAUUUAAAACAUUUUCUUGCUUUAUGCCAAAGAAACUUUUUCAAAGCACUACCUUGAAUUGCUUUUCCAGUCGUGUCUUUCCUCCUACUCCUGGUAUAAGGAUGCUGUUAACAUAGCUGUGCAGCUGAUUUGAAGAUACUUCAGUCUCCUUUCCAAGAAUGGCUUCCAACAAGGCAUCAUGGAUGAAAAUGUACUGCUCCUAAGAG